AAGUCGUAACAAGGUUUCCGUAGGUGAACCUGCGGAAGGAUCAUUAACACGUAUCCAACGUUAAAACAACCCCCUUGCUCCUGUAGCCCGUCUGGUAAAUCAUUGUUGACCAGCUUUUGAGUCAGGGACCUCUGCCGAUUGUGAUAUUUUAUAGCUACGGUUGAGCGAUUGCAUCUAGUGACCUGGCAUCCCCAAGUAAUCAGUGUCUGAAAGUGUCAUUGAUUAUGUAAGGAUGGCGCAGUCACGAUCGCUGUAGGCCCACACGGCCGGCGACCGGGUCACCGGGCUCUGCCCCUUUACGACAACACAGUACGAAUUGGCCGCGCGUGAAAUUCGCACGGCACCAAAAACCGAACAACUGUUAACAAUGGAUAUCUUGGUUCUC
Molecule: unclassified non-coding RNA, 385 nt
Filed under: fungal sp.
Lineage: Eukaryota; Fungi
Description: partial internal transcribed spacer region
Rfam family: Eukaryotic small subunit ribosomal RNA (bases 1-46)
Source: RNAcentral